This 42-nucleotide ribosomal RNA is filed under the name uncultured Tomentella. Its description in RNAcentral is "partial 25S ribosomal RNA". The record is from RNAcentral. Lineage: Eukaryota; Fungi; Basidiomycota; Agaricomycetes; Thelephorales; Thelephoraceae.
UGAUCUCAAAUCAGGUAGGACUACCCGCUGAACUUAAGCAUA